This 94-nucleotide ribosomal RNA is filed under the name Mesocricetus auratus (golden hamster). Lineage: Eukaryota; Metazoa; Chordata; Mammalia; Rodentia; Cricetidae. The record is from RNAcentral.
ACCCUGUCUCAGAAACUGAUCUCAUUUGAUCCCAGAAGUUAAGCAAGGUCAGGCCUGGUUAGCACUUGGAUGAGAGAAACUAAGGCAGAGGGUA